AAUCAGCGGGGAAAGAAGACCCUGUUGAGC
This 30-nucleotide non-coding RNA is filed under the name Arabidopsis thaliana (thale cress). The record is from RNAcentral. RNAcentral also lists the same sequence under 1 other name. Lineage: Eukaryota; Viridiplantae; Streptophyta; Magnoliopsida; Brassicales; Brassicaceae.